AUCGAACGCUGGCGGCAGGCCUAACACAUGCAAGUCGCGCGGAUGAGGUUCGCUUUCCCCUUGACUCAGCGGCGGGCGAGUCAUUGAUGCCUAUGAAUCUGCCUGGUAUUGGGGGAUAACAUCCGGACACGUACGCUAUUACCGCAUACGUCCUGAGCCGGAACGAGGGGGAUAUUCGGACCUCCCGCUAUCCUAUGAGCCUAUGUCUGAUUAGCUAGUUGGGGGGGUAACGGCCUACCAAGGCGUCGAUCGGUAACUGGUCUGAGAGGCUGAUCAGGCACACGGGAACUGAGAGAGGGUAGAGACACCGACGGGAGGAAGCAGUGGGGAAUAUUAGACGAGGGGGGAAAGCCGGAUACAGGCAUGCGGGGUGUGGGAAGAAGGUGUUCGGAUGGUAAAGCAAUGUAAGUUGGGGGAAAGGGAAGUAAGUUAAUACGUGGCUGUGUUGACGUUACCAGCAGAAUAAGCACCGGCUAACUUCGUG
This 484-nucleotide ribosomal RNA is filed under the name uncultured bacterium. RNAcentral describes it as "partial 16S ribosomal RNA". It matches the Rfam family "Bacterial small subunit ribosomal RNA", at positions 30 to 507 of the family's 1533-position model. The record is from RNAcentral.